Molecule: ribosomal RNA, 380 nt
Filed under: uncultured eukaryote
Lineage: Eukaryota
Description: partial 18S ribosomal RNA
Rfam family: Eukaryotic small subunit ribosomal RNA
Source: RNAcentral
CAAUAGCGUAUAUUUAAGUUGUUGCAGUUAAAAAGCUCGUAGUUGGAUUUCGGAUGGGAUUUGCCGGUCCGUCGUUACGAUGUGCACUGGCCAGUCCUAUCUUGUUGUCGGGGACUAGCUCCUUGGAUUCACUUCCUGGGACUAGGAGCUGACGAGGUUACUUUGAGUAAAUUAGAGUGUUCAAAGCAAGCCUACGCUCUGAAUACAUUAGCAUGGAAUAACACGAUAGGACUCUGGCUUAUCUUGUUGGUCUGUGAGACCAGAGUAAUGAUUAAGAGGGACAGUCGGGGACAUUCGUAUUUCAUUGUCAGAGGUGAAAUUCUUGGAUUUAUGAAAGACGAACUUCUUCGAAAGCAUUUGUCAAGGAUGUUUUCAUUAAU